GAUGAACGCUGGCGGCGUGCCUAAUACAUGCAAGUCGAGCGAACGGACGAGAAGCUUGCUUCUCUGAUGUUAGCGGCGGACGGGUGAGUAACACGUGGAUAACCUACCUAUAAGACUGAGAUAACUUCGUGAAACCGGAGCUAAUACCGGAUGAUAUUUUUAACCGCAUGGUUCAACAGUGAAAGACGGUCUUGCUGUCACUUAUAGAUGGAUCCGCGCUGCAUUAGCUAGUUGGUAAGGUAACGGCUUACCAAGGCAACGAUGCAUAGCCGACCUGAGAGGGUGAUCGACCACCCUGGAUCUGAGAAAGGGUCCAGACUCCUACGGGAGGCAGCAGUAGGGAAUCUUCCGCGAUGGGCGAAAGCCUGACGGAGCAACGCCGCGUGAGUGAUGAAGGUCUUAGGAUCGUAAAACUCUGUUAUUAGGGAAGAACAUAUGUGUAAGUAACUGUGCACAUCUUGACGGUACCGAAUCAGAAAGCCACGGCUAACUACGUG
RNAcentral lists this ribosomal RNA (497 nucleotides) under uncultured bacterium. Its description in RNAcentral is "partial 16S ribosomal RNA". It matches the Rfam family "Bacterial small subunit ribosomal RNA", at positions 28 to 507 of the family's 1533-position model. The record is from RNAcentral.